AUGGGGCCUGGAGUCGAUGAGGUGCGACUCUUGCUUGUCCUCGCCUUGUGCCCUGCAGUGUACGGGGGCUACUGGCAGGAGUAUGCUGUGGGCUACCGGACCGCUCCGCUGUUUCCAACGCCAUACGCUUACAACCUACGGUCUGCUGAGCCAGUACUCAACGGGACACUUCGUGGGUUGUUCCCGCCUGUUACUUGCCAGGGAAGGAAGCUGUCUACCAUCCUUAUCCAUGCCACCGUGCAGGCAGGUAUCAAUCUGACACAUGAAAUACACUUGUCAUCGGACGGCACCACACAUGCGACGGAGGACGGAAAAGAAACUGAUCUGCCAGUGGCGCAAUUGUGCGGCUCCAUUGACAUUUGGGACAAGGGGACAACGGCGGAUGUGACCAUUCCGCCAUGGACAGUUAAGACCAUGGUGCGCAAUCAGUCGGUGGCCUGGUUGUGGGUGGGGCCACCGGGCCAAGCUCCUGCACCGGAGGACUUUUUCCCUGGGGAUGUUUGGACUGUAAACAGCCAUGCGACGGCCCCUUACCAAUCGGUCCGCGUCGCGCAUGUUUCGAACUCUGUUCAUUGGCGUUUACCUAACCCCUAUUGGUUGCUCUGUUCUCAGGAACGUGCUUGGAAGGUGAUUCCAGCUAACACGACACUUGGUUUGUGCUCUAUGGGUCUGCUAUUGUGGCCACAUCGCACUGUUCGCAGCCCUCGAGCAACCCGAGGAGUCUGUAACAUUCCGGUGUUGUUAAAAAUGAGAGAUAAAAGGUCAGUUCAGUUCACACAGCAAACAAGGAGCAAUCAAGAGGAAAAUUUAAUGAUAGGGUUAAUUAGAGAUUUCGCAAAAAUGCAGAAUGUGAGUCAAGUGGCCGCUUGUUUACCUAUACCUAAAUCCGCAGGUGAUUCUAUACCCUGGGGUAUAAUCACAUCACCGAUACCCCAGAUUGAGAAAAACAAAACAAUCCAAUGUGAAUCAGAAACAGUCAUAGAGACAGAAAGGCUGGAAGGGUUUUAUAGAAAGUGUCAGAUUCGCCUUUAUUCUGGGUGUCAAAAGGAAAGAAAUUACAUAUUUACGGACCUAGACAACGAGGAUGGACGACUAGGGAUGUGUGAGUAUGAUGCACCACGCACACGACAAAAGGAAAAGGUUAUAUGGAAGUGUAAAGAAGGUAACGAGAUAGGAGGAUUAGAGGGUUGGGAGUCAGCAUGGGCAUUAAGUAUACUGCAGAAAUACCAAUAUGGAGGGAAUACUCCUUGGUGUUUGCAGUGGGUGGGAAGGACAAAUAAUGACCAGAGUUUACUAUACGAGACGGCUCAGAGGGAAACUAGUAGUCGGGAGAGGGUAAAGUCAGUCCCGUGGUGGAAUUGUACACAAAUAUUCAAUUGUGAUACUGCUUUAGAAACAAUAUCUCUGCUCCCGGUAAAGAUAGCCCUAGCCACCGGAUGUGCAUGCAGAGGUCUGCAAGUUAACAUGAGUAUAACCAACCGGAAUAUAGCCAGCCAGACUGGUAGGGAAAAGACCUUAGUGAAUUGUAAAUCCUCGACUAUACGAAGCAUGGGACAUUUUGUGUGGGCCGCCAGUGAUGGAACUUGGACGACUCAUUUAAGUUUGGAUGGCCCAGUAAAAGAAAUUACUUUAGGAUUGCCCACCCUUUGCCCGCUUUGGAAAAAAUCUCCUCUCAUAGAGAGAAGGACAAAAAGAGAAGUAAGUGAAGAAGAUAAGUGGCAGGAACCGUCCACUGGGGUAAAGAUAGGAUGGGUGGUAGAAUCGUUGUUUGCCCCGAUAGCCUCCUACCACAACAGGGAGCUGAUAUACAAUUUGAUGGGGCAAGUACAUAGAUUGGCCGACAUAACCAAAAGGGGGUUUAAGGAAUUAAAUAUACAGUUACAAGCCACAACAAGAAUGACCCUGCAGAAUAGAUUGGCCCUGGAUAUGCUUCUGUUAAAGGAACAUGGCGUCUGUGGAUACCUUAAAGAUAAGGUUGGCCAUUGUUGUAUACACAUUCCGAAUGUAACUGCCGAUGUAGAACGUGACAUAUCCCAAAUAGCCCAGGUAGAAGGCAAAAUAAAAGAAGAGCAGCGUGACGCAGAACAGAAUUGGCUGGGGGCAACUCUCGAGGGGUUAGGCUUUCAGCUAGAAGGAUGGCUUAAAUCGCUUUUGCAAACAAUAUUGCUACUGGUAAUAGUAUUCAUUGUGAUAGGGCUGGUAUAUGCAUGUAUUAAAGCAAAAAUAGAUAGAAGCAGUACAAUGAAUCGCAGCAUGCUGACCAUUCUCACCAAGAAUCAUGAAGGGUUCCCAUUGCCACCGCUUGCUCCUGGGAUGGAUACUUGUCUCUAA
RNAcentral lists this long non-coding RNA (2331 nucleotides) under Anas platyrhynchos (mallard). RNAcentral describes it as "lncRNA (ENSAPLG00020014105.1)". Lineage: Eukaryota; Metazoa; Chordata; Aves; Anseriformes; Anatidae. The record is from RNAcentral.